Long non-coding RNA from Oncorhynchus gorbuscha (pink salmon), 1941 nucleotides. RefSeq lists it as uncharacterized. The record is from RefSeq and is a predicted model, not a curated record. NCBI's taxonomy places the organism in Eukaryota, Metazoa, Chordata, Actinopteri, Salmoniformes, Salmonidae. The transcript is spliced from 5 exons.
UGCUGCUGCCCCGCUGUAAGAACCUGGAGAUCUUCACUGAGGGAGGUGACGUGGCCACAAACAGCGCCUUGGACUCAUUCCAGUGUUACCGCUGUCUGGAGAACAGCCAGGGGGUGGUCAAGACAUCCGGCACAACUUCAUCUUCAGUGUGUCAGCUCUGCUGCACCUGGGAGCUAAAGAGUUGAGGACGCUGUCCCAUCCACUGACCUCUACUAUGUCGCCUCUGGUCCGGACCUGCUCAGUGACGUCGUCCCCUGGGCCCUUGGCUGCACCCGUCUGGGAAUCCAAGACGGCCACCCAGUCUCCUCUGAUAGCCUCCAGCCAGCCACCUGCAGGAAGAGGUUACAAAAUAGACUUUACAAACAUGGCAUGAGUUAAUGCCCUGGUCAAGUUCAUACAUUAUAAUUUAGUAUGUAAACCUAAAUUGUAUUGACUUAAUUUUAUGAAUGAAAAGAAAAUAAUAGCCAGGUGCAUCACUAUUCCCAUUGAAGUAUAUCUAUAAUAUAAUAAUAAUAAUCUAUAUGCAUGUCUCUCUUACCUUGCUCCCCCAUCUUUAGUCCACUCAGCAGGUCAAUGCUCUCUGGUCCGUCUUCUAUUGUCUCCUCUUUGACCAGCAGCAGAUCAGGCUUCCCAUCCUCCAUGUCUACUGACUGUAAGAGAUACAGAGUGAGAGGAUGUUGGAUCAAGAAAUCUGAUAUGAGCACACUGCUAUAUUGUGGUUGGGCAAUGAGGGAUUGCUAUGAGUACUAUGCAAACAUGUUAGUUGAUUUAACUACUUGACUAUCUUUAAUGGUUUGAUAAUUGAAUGGUCCCACACUUAAUCCAGUUCUGGGCCUGUAUCCACAAAGAGUAGAAUUGCUGAUCGAGUAUCAGGUCCCCACCGGUCUAUAUAGUCUUAUUCAUUAUGCUCUAAAAGGCAAAACUGAUCCUAGAUCAGCACUCCUACUCUGAGAGGGUUUGUGGAUACAGGCCCUGACCUAAUACCAUUCAGACAGUAGUUCACAGUGGGCUCACCUCAGUGAGACUGUGUGUGGUCCUGUGCUGCUCAGCUGGUUCCUCUGUGGGUUCAGGAGGUGGUGUCGUCUGGUUGUCCUCCAUGACCAUGGUCCCAUCAGUGUUCCUCAGACUCUCUUCACAUACCUCCUCCUUCACCAGCAGCACCUCUGGACCUUCAUCCUCCUGGAAGAGACAGGGUUUGAAUUGAACGUCAGAAGAUAUCAGAAGAAUGUUAAAGUCUUGGUCUCCGUCUCUGACUUGAGGAUGACGUUCUGUGUUCCACUGACCUCAACGAUGCUGAGUCGGGCUCUUGACUGCACUGGGGUGGUAGUGGGGUCCUCCGUGACUACAGGGGGCAAUCCAGACGCUCCAGCCUGGUUGUCUCUGCUGUGCCGUAAGUCCUCCUCUCCUUCACAUAUGCAUAUUACACACAUCACAUGUACAGAGAGGAACGGGGCAACAUGCACUACGGGAUAUAUGAACGGCGAUACGCUGCGCAUCCUCAGCCUUAAGCAAAACGUACCUCUUGCCAUUCCUCUGUAUCGGUCGAGGAUCUUGACACUACUGGGACGACUGGCGAGGACGCGCUCUCGCAUUAUCCUUUCUGCGCGCUCCCGUGCGACCUUCAUUUCCAGUAGUUUCCUCCGCAAUCCUCUGUUUUCUUUCUGGCUUUGAGUUAUUUCCAAACGAAACAAUGCAUAAUCGUCGUCUACGACUUUACAUAUCUCUGCCACGGCUGCAUUCGCUAGAACCUCCAUGAUGGAGGCUAUUUGAGCGUGAUAAGCCAUACAGUUAGACAUUUUUAGCUCACGUUAACAAGCUAGCGUUUAGAUAACAUCUAUUAACUAAGUACUGUCUGCAACGCGAAUUAAACACUACGUGGGGACCUGAGCCCUAGGACCAUGCCUUAGGACUACCUGGCCUGAUGACUCCUUGCUGUCCACA